UGGGGAAUCUUGCACAAUGGGGGCAACCCUGAUGCAGCGACGCCGCGUGAGCGAUGAAGCCCUUCGGGGCGUAAAGCUCUUUCGACCGGAACGAUAAUGACGGUACCGGGAGAAGAAGCUGCGGCUAACUACGUGCCAGCAGCCGCGGUAAUACGUAGGCAGCAAGCGUUGUUCGGAGUUACUGGGCGUAAAGAGUGCAUAGGCGGUUUUCUAAGUUCGGUGUGAAAUCUCCCGGCUUAAUUGGGAGGGUGCGCCGAAGACUGGGAAGCUGGAGUGUGGGAAAGGCAGGCGGAAUUCCUGGUGUAGCGGUGAAAUGCGUAGAUAUCAGGAGGAACACCGGCGGUGUAGACGGCUUGCUAGACCAUAACUGACGCUGAGGCACGAAAGCGUGGGUAGCAAACA
RNAcentral lists this ribosomal RNA (402 nucleotides) under uncultured bacterium. RNAcentral's name for it is "bacterial SSU rRNA". It matches the Rfam family "Bacterial small subunit ribosomal RNA", at positions 355 to 774 of the family's 1533-position model. The record is from RNAcentral.